This 751-nucleotide long non-coding RNA is filed under the name Chrysemys picta bellii (western painted turtle). RNAcentral describes it as "lncRNA (ENSCPBG00000016173.1)". The record is from RNAcentral. Lineage: Eukaryota; Metazoa; Chordata; Testudines; Emydidae.
UUCAGUUCAGUAUGGUUUAAUGUUUGGAUUCUUAUCGGGCAGGUUACACCCCAAAUUAUUCUUAUUACAGGUAACUGAGACCAGAUAAAUCAAUUCAAUCACUCUUUCAACCUUGGACUCAAUUAUGGUGUAACUGGACUUUGAAAAUGGCAAUAAUUAGGUGCAACUACAGCCUGAGAUGAAAAUCAAAGUUACGAAUAAGUAUCAAUCCUGCAGAGAAAUCCACCACCCUGGAUCUCCAUGAACCUGAGUCAAACAGCAUUUCUCCUCUUCCAUAGCUAUCUGGAAUAGCACAGCAAAAGCCUGUAAGAUGACAUAACAUAACCCCUGGCGUUUGGGGCGAACAUUUUUUCUUCAGAUGGAUUAGUUCAGAUAGACUUGGAGAUCGACCUGCUAAAUCAUCGUCAGAGUGCUCUCUGGUUGAUUCCAGUACUCCAGCUCCCCGAGAAGAGUAAGGUAAGUUGACCAGAGAGCGUCUCCUGUCGACACAGGACAGUGAAUACACUGCGGUCGGUCAACCUAAGCUACGUCGACUCCAGCUACAUAAUUCACAUAUCUGGAGUAGCGUAACUUAGUCAACUUACCCCGGUAGUGUAGACAAGGCCACACUGUAGAGCAAUUGGCCAGCAUAGCAGCAGCUGAUCUCUCCCCAUUAGUUUUCAGCCACAAAGGGAACUUUUAUUUCUAGUUGGAAAGGUGGAAAUUGCAGACCGCACUCAAGGUUGGUCCAUGACAGGCUAGCGGGGAUGUU